UACGGAGGUGGCAAGCGUUGUUCGGAAUUACUGGGCGUAAAGGGCGCGUAGGCGGCUUGGCGAGUCAGAUGUGAAAGCCCCGGGCUUAACUCGGGAACUGCAUCUGAAACUGCCUUGCUUGAGUCCAGGAGGGGAUAGUGGAAUUCCCAGUGUAGCGGUGAAAUGCGUAGAUAUUGGGAGGAACACCUGCGGCGAAGGCGGCUAUCUGGACAGUGACUGACGCUGAGGCGCGAAAGCUAGGGGAGCGAAC
Molecule: ribosomal RNA, 250 nt
Filed under: uncultured bacterium
Lineage: Bacteria
Description: partial 16S ribosomal RNA
Rfam family: Bacterial small subunit ribosomal RNA
Source: RNAcentral